RNAcentral lists this ribosomal RNA (492 nucleotides) under uncultured bacterium. Its description in RNAcentral is "partial 16S ribosomal RNA". It matches the Rfam family "Bacterial small subunit ribosomal RNA", at positions 29 to 507 of the family's 1533-position model. The record is from RNAcentral.
AGUGAACGCUGGCGGUAGGCCUAACACAUGCAAGUCGAACGGCAGCACAGUAAGAGCUUGCUCUUACGGGUGGCGAGUGGCGGACGGGUGAGGAAUAUAUCGGAAUCUACUUUUUCGUGGGGGAUAACGUAGGGAAACUUACGCUAAUACCGCAUACGACCUACGGGUGAAGGCAGGGGAUCUUCGGACCUUGCGCGAUUGAAUGAGCCGAUGUCGGAUUAGCUAGUUGGCGGGGUAAAGGCCCACCAAGGCGACGAUCCGUAGCUGGUCUGAGAGGAUGAUCAGCCACACUGGAACUGAGACACGGUCCAGACUCCUACGGGAGGCAGCAGUGGGGAAUAUUGGACAAAGGGCGCAAGCCUGAUCCAGCCAUACCGCGUGGGUGAAGAAGGCCUUCGGGUUGUAAAGCCCUUUUGUUGGGAAAGAAAAGCAGCAGGUUAAUACCCCGCUGUUCUGACGGUACCCAAAGAAUAAGCACCGGCUAACUUCGUG